Molecule: ribosomal RNA, 1399 nt
Filed under: Serratia marcescens
Lineage: Bacteria; Pseudomonadati; Pseudomonadota; Gammaproteobacteria; Enterobacterales; Yersiniaceae
Description: bacterial SSU rRNA
Rfam family: Bacterial small subunit ribosomal RNA
Source: RNAcentral
AUGCAGUCGAGCGGUAGCACAGGGGAGCUUGCUCCCUGGGUGACGAGCGGCGGACGGGUGAGUAAUGUCUGGGAAACUGCCUGAUGGAGGGGGAUAACUACUGGAAACGGUAGCUAAUACCGCAUAACGUCGCAAGACCAAAGAGGGGGACCUUCGGGCCUCUUGCCAUCAGAUGUGCCCAGAUGGGAUUAGCUAGUAGGUGGGGUAAUGGCUCACCUAGGCGACGAUCCCUAGCUGGUCUGAGAGGAUGACCAGCCACACUGGAACUGAGACACGGUCCAGACUCCUACGGGAGGCAGCAGUGGGGAAUAUUGCACAAUGGGCGCAAGCCUGAUGCAGCCAUGCCGCGUGUGUGAAGAAGGCCUUCGGGUUGUAAAGCACUUUCAGCGAGGAGGAAGGUGGUGAGCUUAAUACGCUCAUCAAUUGACGUUACUCGCAGAAGAAGCACCGGCUAACUCCGUGCCAGCAGCCGCGGUAAUACGGAGGGUGCAAGCGUUAAUCGGAAUUACUGGGCGUAAAGCGCACGCAGGCGGUUUGUUAAGUCAGAUGUGAAAUCCCCGGGCUCAACCUGGGAACUGCAUUUGAAACUGGCAAGCUAGAGUCUCGUAGAGGGGGGUAGAAUUCCAGGUGUAGCGGUGAAAUGCGUAGAGAUCUGGAGGAAUACCGGUGGCGAAGGCGGCCCCCUGGACGAAGACUGACGCUCACGUGCGAAAGCGUGGGGGAGCAAACAGGAUUAGAUACCCUGGUAGUCCACGCUGUAAACGAUGUCGAUUUGGAGGUUGUGCCCUUGAGCGUGGCUUCCGGAGCUAACGCGUUAAAUCGACCGCCUGGGGAGAGUACGGCCGCAAGGUUAAAACUCAAAUGAAUUGACGGGGGCCCGCACAAGCGGUGGAGCAUGUGGUUUAAUUCGAUGCAACGCGAAGAACCUUACCUACUCUUGACAUCCAGAGAACUUAGCAGAGAUGCUUUGGUGCCUUCGGGAACUCUGAGACAGGUGCUGCAUGGCUGUCGUCAGCUCGUGUUGUGAAAUGUUGGGUUAAGUCCCGCAACGAGCGCAACCCUUAUCCUUUGUUGCCAGCGGUUCGGCCGGGAACUCAAAGGAGACUGCCAGUGAUAAACUGGAGGAAGGUGGGGAUGACGUCAAGUCAUCAUGGCCCUUACGAGUAGGGCUACACACGUGCUACAAUGGCGUAUACAAAGAGAAGCGACCUCGCGAGAGCAAGCGGACCUCAUAAAGUACGUCGUAGUCCGGAUUGGAGUCUGCAACUCGACUCCAUGAAGUCGGAAUCGCUAGUAAUCGUAGAUCAGAAUGCUACGGUGAAUACGUUCCCGGGCCUUGUACACACCGCCCGUCACACCAUGGGAGUGGGUUGCUAAAAGAAGUAGGUAGCUUAACCUC